CCCGGGUGGCUGAAAAUCUCCCCAAAGAGAUAUAUGCCCAGGAUGGGGCUGAAUAAAAAGCUAAUAAUAAUAGCCACCACCUGUGGAGAGCUUCUCUUGGACCACGCAUUCUGCUAAGUCCUUCUCUUGUAUGAGGACCAGUUGUGCCCAGAGAACCUUCUCUGUCUCCUCUAACCAUGGGAUAAAAGGAGAUUUCCACAAGAGCGGCUCAGGGACGCAGCCCAUCUCUUAAGAAGGAGGCUCUGAGAGGGACAAGACCAUGGAUGCAGCACAUGGCCACAAGGCAGUUUCAAGAUGCCCAUGUCAGGCAGAGGAUGGCUCAGUGGUCUCUAACCCACCUAACAUUUCAUGAACUUUACUCCUGGUCCCGCUCCCAAAUUAGACACUGGAGAUAAUGGAUCACUAUACUGCACUGAAGACUCGGAGGGGUUGAGCCGCUGGAGCCACGCAAAUUCAGACACCUCUUCCGCCCCAGGUCACUCUACUCGCCCACGCUGCCUGCCACACCCAUCCGGUUGUGCGGGACACUCCCCGCGUUUCUUCAGCGAUUCUUAUCGGGCUCCCUCCUUGUUCAAUAAAGGUGUCAUUUCUGAGCAGGGAAGGUGUGAUCUGGGGCCAGAAUGAAUGGCCCUGGUGACUUCUUACCUGAUUCAUCCCACACCAGUCAGAAGGGGCUGUGAAGGCAGCAGCGAAGGAGCCACACAUGGACGUGGAAUGGGCACGCUGACCAUCAUGGUCACGACUGCAAGAAAGCAGGGCUGCGUGGGUUAAUUGGCUGUGUCUGAGGGUCACCCCUGCACAAGGAGGAUGAUGACGACUGCCCUGUGCAACCCUGGGUCAUCUCAGGGGAGAGCCAUUCCCAGGUUCACAGCAAGCACUCUUUUACUCAGAUGGGCCACCUGCAUCAGGCCCCAAGGAAGCACUUAUUAGUAGAAGAAAAAAAACAAAAACCCAGAAAACAGCCAGUGAGACUAUUUUACAAACAAGCGAAGAGCAGCAACUGAAAGCAACAAUAACUACAACAUAAAUCCCUCUGCAAAUAUUUGGGAUUUCAUUUCCACUAAGGAUAAUGAUGGCGUAGAAGGCAUGUCUGUGGGAGUUAUGCACACAGGGAAAAAGGUGGUGAAAAUAAUCAACCAAAAAUAACAAAAUUCAAUUAAUCAAAACAGAACAAAAUAAAAUGAGCCAAACAGCAUAUCUGAAUAUAAGCAUAAUAAUUGUCGUUGGACAAACCUUUGUCAAAUCAAAUUGGCUUCUAGCACACGGGCUGAUACUUUGUGAUUCAAGUGGUGUUCUACCCACAUAAUUCAUUUAGUUGCAAAGAAUGUAACAAAUAAUGCAAUUAUUCCAGAGGAUCACGGUGAGACAUCUAUUUGGUGGUGCCUUAAGCAGAGUGCCCUGAUUCAGAAGAAUUAGACCAAUCUCUGGAUUCACAGCCACUCAUGAAAACUGUAGGCCGGGCACGGUGGCUCAUGCCUGUAAUCCCAGCACUUUGGGAGGCCAAGGCGGGUGGAUCACGAGGUCAGGUGAUCGAGACCAUCCUGGCUAACAUGGUGAAACCCCGUCUCUACCAAAAAUACAAAAAGAAAUUAGCUGGGAGUGGUGGCGGGCACCUGUAGUCCCAGCUACUCGGGAGGCUGAGGCAGGAGAAUCGCUUGAACCCAGGAGGUGGAGGUUGCCGUGAGCCGAGAUCACGCUACUGCACUCCAAUCUGGGUGACCGAGCAAUACUCCGUCUAAAAAAAAAAAGUAAUAAUAAUAAUAAAAUAGGAAACUGCAGUAACUCGGGACAUCUGGGUUCCUUGUCUUUUGUCAAAAUCACAGGGAAUUCAACUCACUGAAUCUAUUGGUCAAUUCAAUUCCGCCAUUGGUCAGUAUGACUCGGCUUUUGACAGAGAGUUUUACCCAAAGACUUGCAGAACUUCCUUCCUGCAAGAUUUCAGAAGCACAGCAAGCAUUGCAAGAGGAAACUACCUUAUAAAUCAUACAAACCCAGCAUCGUGUUCUUUGCUUGUCCUUGCCUGAAUUUACUGGAAAAUCAUGUUGUGAAACCUAAAUGCAAAUGAACCUUUCUUAUUGCAAAUUAAAAACUAAAUCCAUUUUCAACUGAAUUCAAUGGGAAAAACAAGAAUUAUUUUCCUAAAAAGUAAAUAUCCACCACUCCGUAAUAAUUGUGAUCCGCUGUGGCUUAUGUGUCGUGUCUCAGGACAUGGACUCGGUCCUCUGCAUACCUUACCUCUCAUCCUGCAAUAAUCCUGAACAGGUUCCCAUUAUCCCCAUUUUAGAGGUAAGAAAAACACAGCUCUAAGGGUCUAAGUAACAAUCCCAAAGCCAGAAAUCAGUGCAAUCUUUCCUUGUAGGUUCCAUAAAGGAAGACUCCUCAUUGCUCGCUCAGGGUAAAUGUCUACUCUUUGCAAAUGCCAUUCUUAGCAAUCCUUUAAAAACAGUAACUCCUAGAUUGUAGUACUGCUCAAAGUUUCUAAGGAAACUCACAAGCUUAAAGAAAUGGCCGUGGGGUACUUGGGUAAUAGCUUCCCCACUUUCUUAUCCAGGAGCCUGGCUUCCAGGUGUUACCCUAGGCUGGUCAUGAAGAUACGUCCACCUUUUUUUUUGUUUUAAGUUACAGAGUUGCAAAUAUUUUUAAUAUUUUAAAUUGAUAAACCCAAGUUAUUUGAAUGCCAUCUUUAAAGUUUUUGAUUUGUUUUGCUUGUUUGUGCCUUGUCUUGUUUUUAAAACUUUUAUUUUAGGUUCAAGGGUACAUGUGCAGGUUUGUUAUAUAGGUACACUCCUGUCACGGGGGUUUGUUGUAUAGAUUAUUUCCUGAUCCAGUUACUAAACCUACACAUCCUGAAAAGGCAACAUUUCUGAUUCCCUAAGUGCAGGGAGCUCAGUGGGUGGGGCACAAUUGAUUAAUGGUGACCCAGCAGCUGCAGGCAUGCCUUCCCCUCUUAAAUCCUAUAAACCUUUCUCCCAGGGCAGAGAAUGGGACUGGCCUUGUUCCCACAGCUCCCUCCCCUUGCCAUCCUUGAGCCUUGAGAAGGAGCUGCUUACACAGCGAAGAAGGCCGGAAGGUCUGUGCGACAUUCUUUGGUACCAUCUGUGGACAUUACUGUUCCAUGCAGCCGAGGCUCCGUCCAGCGUUCACUGAUCUUACUGUACCUCCCCUCAGAUCUAGGGGAACGUGCUGGGAGCCGCUUCAGAAAUGGGGGACUUUCUUUUUUUUUUUUUUUUGAGAUUUAAAAAACUUUAAUCUCCAAAUUAAGUAUUUCUUUAUAGAACUCUGUUUUAGACAACAAAGAAUGGUAACAUAGUUAAGAGCCCAAACUCUGUGGUCAGGUACAUCUGAGCUAAUGAAUAUACUUAGAAUUCCUGGCAUGUGGUGAGCACUUGGUAGACAUUAUUAUUAUUGUUAUUAAUAAUACCCCAAAUCCAUCCUUCCUCCCAGUUAAUUUCUUUUUUUUUUUCUAUUAUACUUUUAAGUUUUAG
This 3485-nucleotide long non-coding RNA is filed under the name Homo sapiens (human). Its description in RNAcentral is "HSALNT0157792". Lineage: Eukaryota; Metazoa; Chordata; Mammalia; Primates; Hominidae. The record is from RNAcentral.